UGGGGAAUAUUGGACAAUGGGCGCAAGCCUGAUCCAGCAAUGCCGCGUGGGUGAAGAAGGCCUUCGGGUUGUAAAGCCCUUUUGUACGGGAAGAAAGCUUUCGGGUUAAUACCCUGGGAGGAUGACGGUACCGUAAGAAUAAGCACCGGCUAACUUCGUGCCAGCAGCCGCGGUAAUACGAAGGGUGCAAGCGUUAAUCGGAAUUACUGGGCGUAAAGCGUGCGUAGGUGGUUGUUCAAGUCUGUCGUGAAAGCCCUGGGCUCAACCUGGGAAUUGCGAUGGAAACUGGAUGGCUAGAGUGUGGUAGAGGAUGGCGGAAUUCCCGGUGUAGCGGUGAAAUGCGUAGAGAUCGGGAGGAACAUCCGUGGCGAAGGCGGCCAUCUGGACCAACACUGACACU
Molecule: ribosomal RNA, 400 nt
Filed under: uncultured bacterium
Lineage: Bacteria
Description: bacterial SSU rRNA
Rfam family: Bacterial small subunit ribosomal RNA
Source: RNAcentral